Molecule: ribosomal RNA, 459 nt
Filed under: uncultured bacterium
Lineage: Bacteria
Description: partial 16S ribosomal RNA
Rfam family: Bacterial small subunit ribosomal RNA
Source: RNAcentral
CCUACGGGGGGCAGCAGUGAGGAAUAUUGGUCAAUGGGCGGGAGCCUGAACCAGCCAAGCCGCGUGAGGGAAGAAGGUACAGCGUAUCGUAAACCUCUUUUGUCAGGGAACAAAGGCGGGGACUAGUCCCCGGAUGAGGGUACCUGAAGAAUAAGCAUCGGCUAACUCCGUGCCAGCAGCCGCGGUAAUACGGAGGAUGCGAGCGUUAUCCGGAUUUCUUGGGUUUAAAGGGUGCGCAGGUGGCCGGUUAAGUCAGCGGUAAAAGUCCGGGGCUAAACCCCGGCGGGCCGUUGAAAAUGGCGGUCUGGAGUUGGAGAGAGGUACGCGGAAUGCGCGGUGUAGCGGUGAAAUGCUUAGAUAUCGCGCAGAACCCCGAUUGCGAAGGCAGCGUACCGGCUCCACACUGACGCUGAGGCACGAAAGCGUGGGUAUCGAACAGGAUUAGAUACCCUUGUAGUC